This 32-nucleotide ribosomal RNA is filed under the name Trichoderma virens. RNAcentral's name for it is "partial 18S ribosomal RNA". The record is from RNAcentral. Lineage: Eukaryota; Fungi; Ascomycota; Sordariomycetes; Hypocreales; Hypocreaceae.
UUUCUUUUGGUGAACCUGCGGAGGGAUCAUUA